Non-coding RNA from Acanthosepion pharaonis, 109 nucleotides. Lineage: Eukaryota; Metazoa; Mollusca; Cephalopoda; Sepiida; Sepiidae. The record is from the annotation of a GenBank genome assembly.
GGUCAUAUCAAGAUGAAACACCGGUUCUCGUACGAUCAACGAAGUUAAGCAACGUCGAGCCUGGUCAGUAUUUAGAUGGGUCACCGCUUGGGAAUACCAGGUGCUGUAC